RNAcentral lists this long non-coding RNA (587 nucleotides) under Helianthus annuus (common sunflower). Lineage: Eukaryota; Viridiplantae; Streptophyta; Magnoliopsida; Asterales; Asteraceae. The record is from RNAcentral.
AAGAAGUUUUGAGGCAUGGCCUUGAUAAGAUUGAUUGUUGAAAAUCAAGGCACACACCAUUCCUUCCACCAUCUCACGUAAUAUCAUAAUUCUCAACAAAUUCAACCAUUUUCAAGCAAAGAACCCUUCCCCCAACACUCUAAACUUUCGGCAGCCACUAGACACACAAGAAUCCACCAAAAUUUACCCCUAAACACCCUAAAUUCUUCACUUUUAAGGCCUCUUAUGAACAUAUAAGCAUGGGUUAAAUAUGGAGCUUCACUAGGAGCAUCUUUGAAGCUUAUCUUUCUUCUUAUUAUCUAAUCUAGCUUGUGCACUUUGUAAGUCUACUAAACACCAUAUUUAUGAUUCUUAUUACUAGAAACAGGUCUUGAGCCGGUGAUUCACUAUGGGAUUCGGGAAAACAAAUGACAACGAUGGCCACUUUUGGAGGGUUUGUCUUUUAUAUCCCAACUUCGUAUGGGUAUAUAGGGGACAAAACCUCACUAUGUUUUAUAUCAAAAGCUAUCUUUUGUUAUGUGUAGAUAACUUAGAACUAUGCUAUGUCAAACGUUGUUGAAAACUUGUAAUCUUUUGUUGAAAACUAU